UAGAGUUUGAUCCUGGCUCAGGAUGAACGCUGGCGGCGUGCCUAAUACAUGCAAGUCGAACGAAUCUCUUUUAGAGAUGAGUGGCGAACGGGUGAGUAAUACAUAGGUAACCUGCCCCUGUGCGGGGGAUAACAGGAGGAAACUCCUGCUAAUACCGCAUAGCCAUGAGCACCGCAUGGAGCUCAUGCCAAAUAUCCUUUCGGGGACAGCGCAGGGAUGGACCUAUGGCGCAUUAGCUAGUUGGCGGGGCAACGGCCCACCAAGGCAACGAUGCGUAGCCGGCCUGAGAGGGCGGACGGCUACAUUGGGACUGAGACACGGCCCAGACUCCUACGGGAGGCAGCAGUAGGGAAUUUUCGGCAAUGGGGGAAACCCUGACCGAGCAACGCCGCGUGAGCGAAGAAGGCCUUCGGGUCGUAAAGCUCUGUUGUAAAGGAAGAACGGCGCAUACAGGAAAUGGUAUGCGAGUGACGGUACUUUACCAGAAAGCCACGGCUAACUACGUGCCAGCAGCCGCGGUAAUACGUAGGUGGCGAGCGUUAUCCGGAAUCAUUGGGCGUAAAGAGGGAGCAGGCGGCCGCAAGGGUCUGUGGUGAAAGACCGAAGCUAAACUUCGGUAAGCCAUGGAAACCGGGCGGCUAGAGUGCGGAAGAGGAUCGUGGAAUUCCAUGUGUAGCGGUGAAAUGCGUAGAUAUAUGGAGGAACACCAGUGGCGAAGGCGACGGUCUGGGCCGCAACUGACGCUCAUUCCCGAAAGCGUGGGGAGCAAAUAGGAUUAGAUACCCUAGUAGUCCACGCCGUAAACGAUGGUCACUAAGUGUCGGGGGUCAAACCCCGGUGCUGCAGUCAACGCAAUAAGUGACCCGCCUGAGUAGUACGUUCGCAAGAAUGAAACUCAAAGGAAUUGACGGAAGGGCUGAAUUCCAGC
This 928-nucleotide ribosomal RNA is filed under the name uncultured bacterium. Its description in RNAcentral is "bacterial SSU rRNA". It matches the Rfam family "Bacterial small subunit ribosomal RNA", at positions 1 to 933 of the family's 1533-position model. The record is from RNAcentral.